GACGAACGCUGGCGGCGUGCUUAACACAUGCAAGUCGAGCGGUAAGGCCCUUCGGGGUACACGAGCGGCGAACGGGUGAGUAACACGUGGGUGAUCUGCCUCGCACUCUGGGAUAAGCCUGGGAAACUGGGUCUAAUACCGGAUAUGACCAYKRAUCGCAUGGUUGGUGGUGGAAAGAUUUAUCGGUGCGAGAUGGGCCCGCGGCCUAUCAGCUUGUUGGUGGGGUAAUGGCCUACCAAGGCGACGACGGGUAGCCGGCCUGAGAGGGCGACCGGCCACACUGGGACUGAGACACGGCCCAGACUCCUACGGGAGGCAGCAGUGGGGAAUAUUGCACAAUGGGCGGAAGCCUGAUGCAGCGACGCCGCGUGAGGGAUGACGGCCUUCGGGUUGUAAACCUCUUUCGACAGGGACGAAGCGCAAGUGACGGUACCUGUAGAAGAAGCACCGGCCAACUACGUG
This 462-nucleotide ribosomal RNA is filed under the name Nocardia cerradoensis. Its description in RNAcentral is "bacterial SSU rRNA". It matches the Rfam family "Bacterial small subunit ribosomal RNA", at positions 28 to 507 of the family's 1533-position model. Lineage: Bacteria; Bacillati; Actinomycetota; Actinomycetes; Mycobacteriales; Nocardiaceae. The record is from RNAcentral.